AUUGAACGCUGGCGGCAUGCCUUACACGUGCAAGUCGAACGGUAACAGGUCUUCGGAUGCUGACGAGUGGCGAACGGGUGAGUAAAGCAUCGGAACGUGCCCAGUCGUGGGGGAUAACUGCUCGAAAGAGCAGCUAAUACCGCAUACGACCUAAGGGUGAAAGCGGGGGACCUUCGGGCCUCGUGCGAUUGGAGCGGCCGAUGUCAGAUUAGAUAGUUGGUGGGGUAAAGGCUUACCAAGUCGACGAUCUGUAGCUGGUCUGAGAGGACGACCAGCCACACUGGGACUGAGACACGGCCCAGACUCCUACGGGAGGCAGCAGUGGGGAAUUUUGGACAAUGGGCGAAAGCCUGAUCCAGCAAUGCCGCGUGCAGGAAGAAGGCCUUCGGGUUGUAAACUGCUUUUGUACGGAACGAAAAGGUUCUUUUUAAUAAAGAGGACUGAUGACGGUACCGUAAGAAUAAGCACCGGCUAACUACGUGCCAGCCGCCGCCGUAA
Molecule: ribosomal RNA, 498 nt
Filed under: uncultured bacterium
Lineage: Bacteria
Description: partial 16S ribosomal RNA
Rfam family: Bacterial small subunit ribosomal RNA
Source: RNAcentral